Molecule: long non-coding RNA, 375 nt
Organism: Alligator sinensis (Chinese alligator)
Lineage: Eukaryota; Metazoa; Chordata; Crocodylia; Alligatoridae
Exons: 4
Source: RefSeq, a predicted model, not a curated record
CCCUGAACGCGGCGGCUGCCGGCACCCCCCACCCCAGAGCCAGCCGCAUCCCCCCAGCCCUGACCCUGACCCCCGUGUCCCGCAGGCAAGGAUGAGGAGCUGGGCUGGGAGCUGCCAUCGAGCUGAAGGUGCUGCAGGCGCGGCGGGAGCGCCAGGACCGCAUCAGCAAGCUGAUGGGCGAGUACCUGCUCCAGGGCUACCGCAUGCUGGGAGACUGCUGCCAGGACUGCGGGACCAUCCUGCUCCAGGACCAGCAGAAGCGGCUGUACUGCGUGGCCUGCCAGGAGCUGGACUCCGAUGUGGACAAGGAUAACCCGGCGCUGAACCCCCAGGCCGCGCUGUCGCAGGUCCGCGAGCGCCAGCUGGCCUCCAGUG